GCCACUUCACUGGUGCAUAUACUAAAUUUGAAAUGAAACAGAGACUUUUAUCAAUGCCCCUGCAUCAAGAUGACACACACAUUGGUGAACUGUUUAUCUUUUCA
Molecule: small nuclear RNA, 104 nt
Organism: Salarias fasciatus (jewelled blenny)
Lineage: Eukaryota; Metazoa; Chordata; Actinopteri; Blenniiformes; Blenniidae
Source: Ensembl